RNAcentral lists this ribosomal RNA (2930 nucleotides) under Escherichia coli. Its description in RNAcentral is "bacterial LSU rRNA". It matches the Rfam family "Bacterial large subunit ribosomal RNA". The record is from RNAcentral. Lineage: Bacteria; Pseudomonadati; Pseudomonadota; Gammaproteobacteria; Enterobacterales; Enterobacteriaceae. RNAcentral also lists the same sequence under 1 other name.
GGGUUGUGAGGUUAAGCGACUAAGCGUACACGGUGGAUGCCCUGGCAGUCAGAGGCGAUGAAGGACGUGCUAAUCUGCGAUAAGCGUCGGUAAGGUGAUAUGAACCGUUAUAACCGGCGAUUUCCGAAUGGGGAAACCCAGUGUGUUUCGACACACUAUCAUUAACUGAAUCCAUAGGUUAAUGAGGCGAACCGGGGGAACUGAAACAUCUAAGUACCCCGAGGAAAAGAAAUCAACCGAGAUUCCCCCAGUAGCGGCGAGCGAACGGGGAGCAGCCCAGAGCCUGAAUCAGUGUGUGUGUUAGUGGAAGCGUCUGGAAAGGCGCGCGAUACAGGGUGACAGCCCCGUACACAAAAAUGCACAUGCUGUGAGCUCGAUGAGUAGGGCGGGACACGUGGUAUCCUGUCUGAAUAUGGGGGGACCAUCCUCCAAGGCUAAAUACUCCUGACUGACCGAUAGUGAACCAGUACCGUGAGGGAAAGGCGAAAAGAACCCCGGCGAGGGGAGUGAAAAAGAACCUGAAACCGUGUACGUACAAGCAGUGGGAGCACGCUUAGGCGUGUGACUGCGUACCUUUUGUAUAAUGGGUCAGCGACUUAUAUUCUGUAGCAAGGUUAACCGAAUAGGGGAGCCGAAGGGAAACCGAGUCUUAACUGGGCGUUAAGUUGCAGGGUAUAGACCCGAAACCCGGUGAUCUAGCCAUGGGCAGGUUGAAGGUUGGGUAACACUAACUGGAGGACCGAACCGACUAAUGUUGAAAAAUUAGCGGAUGACUUGUGGCUGGGGGUGAAAGGCCAAUCAAACCGGGAGAUAGCUGGUUCUCCCCGAAAGCUAUUUAGGUAGCGCCUCGUGAAUUCAUCUCCGGGGGUAGAGCACUGUUUCGGCAAGGGGGUCAUCCCGACUUACCAACCCGAUGCAAACUGCGAAUACCGGAGAAUGUUAUCACGGGAGACACACGGCGGGUGCUAACGUCCGUCGUGAAGAGGGAAACAACCCAGACCGCCAGCUAAGGUCCCAAAGUCAUGGUUAAGUGGGAAACGAUGUGGGAAGGCCCAGACAGCCAGGAUGUUGGCUUAGAAGCAGCCAUCAUUUAAAGAAAGCGUAAUAGCUCACUGGUCGAGUCGGCCUGCGCGGAAGAUGUAACGGGGCUAAACCAUGCACCGAAGCUGCGGCAGCGACGCUUAUGCGUUGUUGGGUAGGGGAGCGUUCUGUAAGCCUGUGAAGGUGUGCUGUGAGGCAUGCUGGAGGUAUCAGAAGUGCGAAUGCUGACAUAAGUAACGAUAAAGCGGGUGAAAAGCCCGCUCGCCGGAAGACCAAGGGUUCCUGUCCAACGUUAAUCGGGGCAGGGUGAGUCGACCCCUAAGGCGAGGCCGAAAGGCGUAGUCGAUGGGAAACAGGUUAAUAUUCCUGUACUUGGUGUUACUGCGAAGGGGGGACGGAGAAGGCUAUGUUGGCCGGGCGACGGUUGUCCCGGUUUAAGCGUGUAGGCUGGUUUUCCAGGCAAAUCCGGAAAAUCAAGGCUGAGGCGUGAUGACGAGGCACUACGGUGCUGAAGCAACAAAUGCCCUGCUUCCAGGAAAAGCCUCUAAGCAUCAGGUAACAUCAAAUCGUACCCCAAACCGACACAGGUGGUCAGGUAGAGAAUACCAAGGCGCUUGAGAGAACUCGGGUGAAGGAACUAGGCAAAAUGGUGCCGUAACUUCGGGAGAAGGCACGCUGAUAUGUAGGUGAAGUCCCUCGCGGAUGGAGCUGAAAUCAGUCGAAGAUACCAGCUGGCUGCAACUGUUUAUUAAAAACACAGCACUGUGCAAACACGAAAGUGGACGUAUACGGUGUGACGCCUGCCCGGUGCCGGAAGGUUAAUUGAUGGGGUCAGCGCAAGCGAAGCUCUUGAUCGAAGCCCCGGUAAACGGCGGCCGUAACUAUAACGGUCCUAAGGUAGCGAAAUUCCUUGUCGGGUAAGUUCCGACCUGCACGAAUGGCGUAAUGAUGGCCAGGCUGUCUCCACCCGAGACUCAGUGAAAUUGAACUCGCUGUGAAGAUGCAGUGUACCCGCGGCAAGACGGAAAGACCCCGUGAACCUUUACUAUAGCUUGACACUGAACAUUGAGCCUUGAUGUGUAGGAUAGGUGGGAGGCUUAGAAGUGUGGACGCCAGUCUGCAUGGAGCCGACCUUGAAAUACCACCCUUUAAUGUUUGAUGUUCUAACGUUGACCCGUAAUCCGGGUUGCGGACAGUGUCUGGUGGGUAGUUUGACUGGGGCGGUCUCCUCCUAAAGAGUAACGGAGGAGCACGAAGGUUGGCUAAUCCUGGUCGGACAUCAGGAGGUUAGUGCAAUGGCAUAAGCCAGCUUGACUGCGAGCGUGACGGCGCGAGCAGGUGCGAAAGCAGGUCAUAGUGAUCCGGUGGUUCUGAAUGGAAGGGCCAUCGCUCAACGGAUAAAAGGUACUCCGGGGAUAACAGGCUGAUACCGCCCAAGAGUUCAUAUCGACGGCGGUGUUUGGCACCUCGAUGUCGGCUCAUCACAUCCUGGGGCUGAAGUAGGUCCCAAGGGUAUGGCUGUUCGCCAUUUAAAGUGGUACGCGAGCUGGGUUUAGAACGUCGUGAGACAGUUCGGUCCCUAUCUGCCGUGGGCGCUGGAGAACUGAGGGGGGCUGCUCCUAGUACGAGAGGACCGGAGUGGACGCAUCACUGGUGUUCGGGUUGUCAUGCCAAUGGCACUGCCCGGUAGCUAAAUGCGGAAGAGAUAAGUGCUGAAAGCAUCUAAGCACGAAACUUGCCCCGAGAUGAGUUCUCCCUGACCCUUUAAGGGUCCUGAAGGAACGUUGAAGACGACGACGUUGAUAGGCCGGGUGUGUAAGCGCAGCGAUGCGUUGAGCUAACCGGUACUAAUGAACCGUGAGGCUUAACCUUACAACGCCGAAGCUGUU